CCUUUUGAAUGCUAUAUUAAACUAGAGUAGAUAUUCUUAUGAAUUUCAAAAUAGGGCAGGAGGAAAAAGAAA
The sequence is a small RNA, 72 nucleotides long. It matches the Rfam family "RAGATH-18 RNA". Rfam says of the family: Actinobacteria, Firmicutes, Fusobacteria, Thermotogae (1 example). The record is from Rfam.